Non-coding RNA from Callithrix jacchus (white-tufted-ear marmoset), 1357 nucleotides. The record is from RefSeq and is a predicted model, not a curated record. NCBI's taxonomy places the organism in Eukaryota, Metazoa, Chordata, Mammalia, Primates, Cebidae.
AUGAGGAUGCCAAAGCUUAGAGAAGAUAUGUGAUUUGCCCAAGAUCACACUAAGGAUUAUAGAACAGCAAUAAAAAUGUACAUCAAGUAGAAAUAUUCUGCCAACCAUAUCUGAAACUACAUAUAUAAUUUUCAAUGUUUCAAUUGCCGCAUUUAAAAAGUAAAAGAAACAGGUGAAGAAACUGAGAUGUGAAGAACCUAAGUCAUUUGCUCAGGUCAUAUAACCAGUAUGUGGUGGAGGCUAACAGCAAGGUAGCCAACCUGAAUCAAGACAUCUCCCCCACACAACACUGCCUCCUAGAGGGAUCUCAUUUGUUUUGCUUAUUCUCGACCGUGCUCAACAUCAAAGUUUUGCAUUAAAAGAUGUUUAGUACCGAUUUCUUGUGGACCUCACAGGUAGGCAUGAUUCUACCUUAAACAUUUCGCUUAAGAUGGUUUUAAGUAGUAAAUGAACACAUUGUCCAUUAUACAGUCUCAAAGGUUUGAAGUCUAAACUUCCUAACUGCUAGUUAAAGUCUAUUAUCUUUGUGUUUGCCUAACUUCUGCAGGACAUAUCAAGGAAGUUAAACAUGUCUGUUAUAAAUGUUGGGUACCUAAUUGCCUUACCUUAUAGCUGAGCCAGUAGGCAGACACUAAAUAAAGAAAACCUCCCGGCUCACAAUGACAUACUGUCUUUGAACAUCUUUCAAGCAGAGGAAAGAUAACGGCCAUGUAUGAGGUUAGUCAAGACUGCUGAUUUGCAGUCUCUUCAGGAAAUUGUAGUGUUUCCGAGGACAAUAUUCCUAGUCAAAAUAGAUUAAGCUUGAAGCCAAAGUGAUGACCACAGUCAAAGUUAAUAAUACUGUAUGUUUGGUUGGAAACAACUGGAAGAAAAAUAAGUUACCGUAGCAGACAGUCUGCCCUAUAAUCCUUUAUUCUCGGGUCCUUGUCAGGCAGAAAAUGAAGUUUUCUCUUUGAGGACUUUGUAGACAGACAAAAAAAUACCAUUUACCCUGAUGAAAUGGAGUCUAGGGUUAGAGGGGCCUAAGUAUGUUUUAGAUAAAAACUGGCCCUCUGCUCCGUCCCACUCGGGGCGUGUCCCGUCACGUGCCAGAACUGGGGUCCGGUGCAGAGUGCCCCUUGUCCUGGGAAACGGGGUGCGACCGUAAAGGCGGCCUCCCCCUUGCCCGUCACGCAACGCACGUUCGUGGGGAACCUGGCGCUAAACCAUUCGUAGACGACCUGCUUCUGGGUCCGGGUUUCCAACGUAGCAGAGCAGUUCCCUCGCUGCGAUCUAUUGAAAGUCAGCCCUCGACACAAGGGUUUGAAAAAAGAAGAAAGAAAAAAAAGAAAACAAAAAGAAAAAAACAACAACAACA